GGCAAUCUGCCCUUCACUCUGGGACAAGCCCUGGAAACGGGGUCUAAUACCGGAUAACACUCUGUCCCGCAUGGGACGGGGUUGAAAGCUCCGGCGGUGAAGGAUGAGCCCGCGGCCUAUCAGCUUGUUGGUGGGGUAAUGGCCUACCAAGGCGACGACGGGUAGCCGGCCUGAGAGGGCGACCGGCCACACUGGGACUGAGACACGGCCCAGACUCCUACGGGAGGCAGCAGUGGGGAAUAUUGCACAAUGGGCGAAAGCCUGAUGCAGCGACGCCGCGUGAGGGAUGACGGCCUUCGGGUUGUAAACCUCUUUCAGCAGGGAAGAAGCGAAAGUGACGGUACCUGCAGAAGAAGCGCCGGCUAACUACGUGCCAGCAGCCGCGGUAAUACGUAGGGCGCAAGCGUUGUCCGGAAUUAUUGGGCGUAAAGAGCUCGUAGGCGGCUUGUCACGUCGGAUGUGAAAGCCCGGGGCUUAACCCCGGGUCUGCAUUCGAUACGGGCUAGCUAGAGUGUGGU
This 518-nucleotide ribosomal RNA is filed under the name Streptomyces sp. f61. RNAcentral describes it as "bacterial SSU rRNA". It matches the Rfam family "Bacterial small subunit ribosomal RNA", at positions 120 to 652 of the family's 1533-position model. Lineage: Bacteria; Bacillati; Actinomycetota; Actinomycetes; Kitasatosporales; Streptomycetaceae. The record is from RNAcentral.